Molecule: long non-coding RNA, 289 nt
Filed under: Medicago truncatula (barrel medic)
Lineage: Eukaryota; Viridiplantae; Streptophyta; Magnoliopsida; Fabales; Fabaceae
Description: long non-coding RNA (MTRU_LNC000392)
Source: RNAcentral
ACAUGUAUAUAAACCUCAAUAGUUGCAGCGGAAUAUAAAUCAGAGUGAUCAAAUAUAUACAUGCCAUGAACAAAUAACUCAUAUCCCAAAGAUAAAUCUCAAAACCCAAACAUACGGGCAGUCAUCAACAAAAUAAUAAUCCAAAGGAAAAUAUAAACAACCUAAUCUAGACCGACACGACAAGCCUAGAUCAGAGCCGACACGACCCGAUAUCGGAGAAAGCUCCCGAUAUCCCAAGCACAAGAACUCACCAAGCAACUAAACCUGCACAACGUCUACCCAUCCAUAC